CUCGCGGGUAGCAACGCCCACCCGUGUUUAUCAUAUCUUGUUGCUUUGGCAGGUGGCGCCCGGCGACGGCCGGGACGUGCCUGCCAGGGGACCCCAACUCUGAAUUUUAGUGUCGUCUGAGUACUAUAUAAUAGUUAAAACUUUCAACAACGGAUCUCUUGGCUCUGGCAUCGAUGAAGAACGCAGCGAAAUGCGAUAAGUAAUGUGAAUUGCAGAAUUCAGUGAAUCAUCGAAUCUUUGAACGCACAUUGCGCCCCGUGGUAUUCCGCGGGGCAUGCCUGUUCGAGCGUCAUUUAACCCCAUCCAGCGUGCUGGGUCUUGGGCCUCGCCUCCGGGCGGGCCUUGAAAUCAGUGGCGGCGCCACCCGGCUCUCAGCGUAGUAUAACUCCUCGCUGCAGGGCAUCGGGCGGACGCUGGCCAGCAACCCCACAUCUUAUCC
Molecule: ribosomal RNA, 439 nt
Filed under: ascomycete sp. olrim967
Lineage: Eukaryota; Fungi; Ascomycota
Description: eukaryotic LSU rRNA
Rfam family: 5.8S ribosomal RNA (bases 139-292)
Source: RNAcentral